Molecule: ribosomal RNA, 253 nt
Filed under: uncultured bacterium
Lineage: Bacteria
Description: partial 16S ribosomal RNA
Rfam family: Bacterial small subunit ribosomal RNA
Source: RNAcentral
GCCAGAGGGGGCAAGCGUUGCUCGGAAUCACUGGGCGUAAAGGGCGCGUAGGCGGGCUGGCAAGUCAGUCGUGAAAUCUCUCGGCUCAACCGAGAAACGUCGGCUGAUACUGCCGUUCUUGAGGGAUGCAGAGGAGACUGGAAUUCCCGGUGUAGCAGUGAAAUGCGUAGAGAUGCGGAGGAACACCGAUGGCGAAGGCAGCCCCCUGGGCUAACACUGACGCUCAGGCACGAAAGCGUGGGGAGCAAACAGG